RNAcentral lists this ribosomal RNA (483 nucleotides) under uncultured bacterium. Its description in RNAcentral is "partial 16S ribosomal RNA". It matches the Rfam family "Bacterial small subunit ribosomal RNA", at positions 30 to 507 of the family's 1533-position model. The record is from RNAcentral.
UUGAACGCUGGCGGCAUGCCUUACACAUGCCAGUCGCACGGCAGCGCGGACUUCGGUCUGGCGGCGAGUGGCGAACGGGUGAGUAAUACAUCGGAACGUACCCUGUUGUGGGGGAUAACUAGUCGAAAGAUUAGCUAAUACCGCAUACGACCUGAGGGUGAAAGUGGGGGACCGCAAGGCCUCACGCAGCAGGAGCGGCCGAUGUCUGAUUAGCUAGUUGGUGGGGUAAAGGCCCACCAAGGCGACGAUCAGUAGCUGGUCUGAGAGGACGAUCAGCCACACUGGGACUGAGACACGGCCCAGACUCCUACGGGAGGCAGCAGUGGGGAAUUUUGGACAAUGGGGGCAACCCUGAUCCAGCAAUGCCGCGUGUGUGAAGAAGGCCUUCGGGUUGUAAAGCACUUUUGUCCGGAAAGAAAUCGCGCUGGUUAAUACCUGGCGUGGAUGACGGUACCGGAAGAAUAAGCACCGGCUAACUACGUG